Hippocampus zosterae (dwarf seahorse) is the source of this 360-nucleotide long non-coding RNA. RefSeq lists it as uncharacterized. The record is from RefSeq and is a predicted model, not a curated record. Lineage: Eukaryota; Metazoa; Chordata; Actinopteri; Syngnathiformes; Syngnathidae. The transcript has 2 exons.
GGCUCAUCUCCAUCACCGAAUGCAACUACGCCAGCAAAAGGGACCACCCCCAUCACUGGGGGUCAAGGUGGUGGUGGAGGUGGGUCUGAGGGGCUUUCAGACGGCGCCAUUGCAGGCAUCACAAUUGGUUCUAUUGCCGGCGUGGCUGCUAUCGGUGGCGGUAUCUUUGGAGUACUCAAGUACACUGGGAGAGUGUGAGGAGCAAGACGGCUUCUAUGAGGAAUCAGCAUAAUACAUUUUUAAAAUAAAUUAUUUCAGUUUUGGUGGGAUAUGUUCGAGACAUUUCUGUGCACUUGGAUUUAACUUGAAAGGGCUAAUUAUACAUGAACAUGUUUUUGCUAAAUAAAUAUUCCUGAAAAU